RNAcentral lists this ribosomal RNA (443 nucleotides) under uncultured bacterium. RNAcentral's name for it is "partial 16S ribosomal RNA". It matches the Rfam family "Bacterial small subunit ribosomal RNA", at positions 338 to 795 of the family's 1533-position model. The record is from RNAcentral.
CCUACGGGUGGCAGCAGUGGGGAAUAUUGGGCAAUGGGCGCAAGCCUGACCCAGCAACGCCGCGUGAGGGAAGAAGGCUUUCGGGUUGUAAACUUCUUUUCUGAGGGACGAAGAAAGUGACGGUACCUCAGGAAUAAGCCACGGCUAACUACGUGCCAGCAGCCGCGGUAAUACGUAGGUGGCAAGCGUUAUCCGGAUUUAUUGGGUGUAAAGGGCGGGUAGGCGGGAAAGCAAGUCAGAUGUGAAAACUCAGGGCUCAACCCUGAGCCUGCAUUUGAAACUGUUUUUCUUGAGUGCUGGAGAGACAAUCGGCAUUCCAUGUGUAGCGGUGAAAUCCUUAGAUAUCCGGAGGAACACCAGUGGCGAAGGCGGAUUGCUGGACAGUAACUGACGCUGAGGCGCGAAAGCGUGGGGAGCAAACAGGAUUAGAUACCCUUGUAGUC